Panthera uncia (snow leopard) is the source of this 612-nucleotide long non-coding RNA. RefSeq lists it as uncharacterized. The record is from RefSeq and is a predicted model, not a curated record. Lineage: Eukaryota; Metazoa; Chordata; Mammalia; Carnivora; Felidae. The transcript is spliced from 5 exons.
CGCUCUUCCCUCCCCCCAGUCUCCGGACCUGGUGGUUCUUGCGUGAUGAGACUUCCAGAACUACAUGAAAGCAAUUAUGCCAACUGUGACCCUUGAUGACCCCAACCGCCACCGUCUGCCUCAUGUCACGGACAGCGAAGCGACCUAGGACACAGGACAUGAAGAAACAAAUGGGGAAUGCUACCAAGGCACGAGCUAGGACACUUGUACGGGAGGCCAACUUCUUGCCUGAGCGCCGGUCAAUCUUCUCCCUGAGCUCUGCAAACUUACAGGCGAUGUGGGCCGUGUGGCAGUCCAGAACUGCAGAGAGCCUGAGUAACUUACCCAUGAUGGAACAGCAAGCAAGUGGCAGAGCUGGGGAUGGGGAAACAAAGGAGCAGAAAAAACAUACAGCAGAAUUAAGUAAGCAUCAGGAGCGAGAAUGAAGAUACGACUCAAAUACUCUAACACUUACACCUUCUGAACACUAGAUGUUCCCCAACAUCUUAGGCCAGGAGAGCGUUAUUGAGUGUGAGGCCUUCUAAAAGGAUAACUAAGUAUGACAGUACAUCGUAUGCAUGCCUUUUAAGCAGACACUUUAUUUACUUCUCUAAAAACCCUCGCCAAAGCUCA